GGAGAGGUGAUAGAGUCUGGUUUAUUAUACUAGUCUUGAAAACUAGCGGAUCGAAAGGUCCCGUGGGUUCGAAUCCCACCCUCUCCG
RNAcentral lists this transfer RNA (87 nucleotides) under Pseudomonas phage vB_PaeM_PA5oct. Its description in RNAcentral is "tRNA-Ser". It matches the Rfam family "tRNA". From Rfam's summary of the family: Transfer RNA (tRNA) molecules are approximately 80 nucleotides in length. Their secondary structure includes four short double-helical elements and three loops (D, anti-codon, and T loops). Lineage: Duplodnaviria; Heunggongvirae; Uroviricota; Caudoviricetes; Arenbergviridae. The record is from RNAcentral. RNAcentral also lists the same sequence under 3 other names.